GAAGUGAAUAGGAGGCUAAGAAAGGGAAC
Molecule: non-coding RNA, 29 nt
Filed under: Homo sapiens (human)
Lineage: Eukaryota; Metazoa; Chordata; Mammalia; Primates; Hominidae
Source: RNAcentral